RNAcentral lists this ribosomal RNA (563 nucleotides) under uncultured bacterium. RNAcentral's name for it is "bacterial SSU rRNA". It matches the Rfam family "Bacterial small subunit ribosomal RNA", at positions 338 to 916 of the family's 1533-position model. The record is from RNAcentral.
CCUACGGGAGGCAGCAGUGGGGAAUUUUCCGCAAUGGGCGAAAGCCUGACGGAGCAACGCCGCGUGAGGGAUGAAGGCCUCUGGGCUGUAAACCUCUUUUAUCAAGGAAGAAGAUCUGACGGUACUUGAUGAAUAAGCCACGGCUAAUUCCGUGCCAGCAGCCGCGGUAAUACGGGAGUGGCAAGCGUUAUCCGGAAUUAUUGGGCGUAAAGCGUCCGCAGGCGGUCUGUCAAGUCUGCUGUUAAAGCGUGGAGCUUAACUCCAUUUCGGCAGUGGAAACUGACAGACUAGAGUGUGGUAGGGGCAGAGGGAAUUCCCGGUGUAGCGGUGAAAUGCGUAGAUAUCGGGAAGAACACCAGUGGCGAAGGCGCUCUGCUGGGCCAUAACUGACGCUCAUGGACGAAAGCCAGGGGAGCGAAAGGGAUUAGAUACCCCUGUAGUCCUGGCCGUAAACGAUGAACACUAGGUGUCGGGGGAAUCGACCCCCUCGGUGUCGUAGCCAACGCGUUAAGUGUUCCGCCUGGGGAGUACGCACGCAAGUGUGAAACUCAAANGAAUGACGG